Molecule: ribosomal RNA, 253 nt
Filed under: uncultured bacterium
Lineage: Bacteria
Description: partial 16S ribosomal RNA
Rfam family: Bacterial small subunit ribosomal RNA
Source: RNAcentral
UACAGAGGGUGCAAGCGUUAAUCGGAAUUACUGGGCGUAAAGCGCAUGUAGGUGGGUAUUCAAGUUUGAUGUGAAAGCCCUGGGCUUAACCUGGGAAUGGCGUUGAAGACUGGAUAGCUAGAGUUUGACAGAGGGCCGUGGAAUUUCCGGUGUAGCGGUGAAAUGCGUAGAGAUCGGAAAGAACACCAGUGGCGAAGGCGGCGGCCUGGGUCAAAACUGACACUGAGGUGCGAAAGCGUGGGGAGCAAACAGG